This is a non-coding RNA of Capsicum annuum, 72 nucleotides long. NCBI's taxonomy places the organism in Eukaryota, Viridiplantae, Streptophyta, Magnoliopsida, Solanales, Solanaceae. The record is from Rfam.
UGGGAUAUAACUCAGUGGUAGAGUGUCACCUUGACGUGGUGAAAGUCAUCAGUUUGAGUUUGAUUAUUGCUA